Molecule: small RNA, 81 nt
Filed under: Enterobacter asburiae
Lineage: Bacteria; Pseudomonadati; Pseudomonadota; Gammaproteobacteria; Enterobacterales; Enterobacteriaceae
Description: OmrA-B family
Rfam family: OmrA-B family
Source: RNAcentral
CCCAGAGGUAUUGAUAGGUGGAAUCAACUCCGGUUGAUUAACACGCUUACACCAGCCUGCGUUUUUACGCAGGUUUUUUUU